Molecule: ribosomal RNA, 406 nt
Filed under: uncultured bacterium
Lineage: Bacteria
Description: partial 16S ribosomal RNA
Rfam family: Bacterial small subunit ribosomal RNA
Source: RNAcentral
AUUGAACGCUGGCGGCAGGCCUAACACAUGCAAGUCGAACGAGUGGCGGACGGGUGAGUAAUGUCUGGGAAACUGCCCGAUGGAGGGGGAUAACUACUGGAAACGGUAGCUCAUACCGCAUACCAUCGGAUGUGCCCCGUUGGGACUAGCUAGUCGGUGGGGUAACGGCUCACCUAGGCGACGAGCCCUAGCUGGUCUGAGAGGAUGACCAGCCACACUGGAACGUAGACACGGUCCAGACUCCUACGGGAGGCAGGAGUGGGGAAUAUUGCACAAUGGGGGCAAGCCUGAUGCAGCCAUGCCGCGUGUAUGAAGAAGGCCUUCGGGUUGUAAAGUACUUUCAGCGAGGAGGCGUUACUCGCAGAAGAAGCACCGGCUAACUCCGUGCCAGCAGCCGCGGUAAUUC